Molecule: ribosomal RNA, 484 nt
Filed under: uncultured bacterium
Lineage: Bacteria
Description: bacterial SSU rRNA
Rfam family: Bacterial small subunit ribosomal RNA
Source: RNAcentral
AACUAACGCUGGCGGCGUGCCUAACACAUGCAAGUCGUACGAGAAAGCCGGCUUCGGCUGGUGAGUAAAGUGGCGCACGGGUGAGUAACGCGUGGAUAAUCUGCCCUUAAGUGUGGAAUAACGUACCGAAAGGUGCGCUAAUACCGCAUAAUGCCUGGCAACACAAGUUGUCCGGCCAAAGAAGGCCUCUGUUUACAAGCUUUCGCUUCAGGAUGAGUCCGCGUACCAUUAGCUUGUUGGUGGGGUAAUGGCCUACCAAGGCUGCGAUGGUUAGCUGGUCUGAGAGGAUGAUCAGCCACACUGGAACUGAGACACGGUCCAGACUCCUACGGGAGGCAGCAGUGAGGAAUAUUGCGCAAUGGGGCGAACCCUGACGCAGCAACGCCGCGUGAGUGAGGAAGGUUUUCGGACUGUAAAGCUCUGUCGAGCGGGAAGAAGUGUACCAUGGCUAAUAUCCAUGAUAUUUGACCGGUACCGCUAGAGG